CUACUUUUCCCAACUAAUAUGAGGACAUCACAACAAAUAUUCAGCAGCAGCUCAAGAAAACCUCAUCAAAUUUCAAUCUCCAAUCAUACACUAACAAACUCAUAAAUCACAUCAACAUAUUCAUUGCCAUGCAUCCAACUCAAAGCACUUAAAAUCUGUGUACACUGCAUUUUGAAUUUUGUGAUCUACUAGUGAAAAACAUAACUAUUUGCCUUAAUUGCGGUACAUAAACACUUGCUUUAAUUGCAGUACAUACACCAGAAAACAAAAAGAUUGGUUUAAUUGCAGUACAUAACCGUCAAUGCAAAACAUUUGUUGCCAGGUUUUGCACCAAUUUCCUCAUGAACCAACCCUAAUCACUAUCCACAAACACCCAACUUCAGGGACUGCUGGCACAUAAUAUGCAGCAACAUACACCAAUAAACAAAAAUAUGGGACUGCUGUCACAUAGUUGAUCGUCACUGCUGUCCCAAUUUCGCAGAUUUCCUCCUAGGACGUGCUCGUGCCUUGGCCUUUCCCAAUUUGUCUGAUUCCAGUCCUGCCGUGUCCUACAUGUCGUGAAUGGUGUCGUCGAAGUUCACAUUUACGAUGGGAACUUGAUGGUCGCCUGUUGCAUUCCAAUGAGUUGCUGCUGGUCCCUCUCGAAAACGUCCUGGCCAAGAUUCAUGUUCCACAGUAGGCGUUGGUCCCGGAGAUUCAUUACAAUGAAGGAGGUUCGGCUGACAAGAAAAAUGAAGGAAAAUUCAACAUAGUGUUUUCAAUUCAAAUAAAAUAAUUCGACCUCAUAAAUCCCAAAAAAAAAAUACGAUUCAUACAUAUCGAG
RNAcentral lists this long non-coding RNA (823 nucleotides) under Olea europaea subsp. europaea. Lineage: Eukaryota; Viridiplantae; Streptophyta; Magnoliopsida; Lamiales; Oleaceae. The record is from RNAcentral.